AUUGAACGCUGGCGGCAGGCCUAACACAUGCAAGUCGAGCGGAUGAAGGGAGCUUGCUCCUGGAUUCAGCGGCGGACGGGUGAGUAAUGCCUAGGAAUCUGCCUGGUAGUGGGGGAUAACGUCCGGAAACGGGCGCUAAUACCGCGUACGUCCUGAGGGAGAAAGUGGGGGAUCUUCGGACCUCACGCUAUCAGAUGAGCCUAGGUCGGAUUAGCUAGUUGGUGGGGUAAAGGCCUACCAAGGCGACGAUCCGUAACUGGUCUGAGAGGAUGAUCAGUCACACUGGAACUGAGACACGGUCCAGACUCCUACGGGAGGCAGCAGUGGGGAAUAUUGGACAAUGGGCGAAAGCCUGAUCCAGCCAUGCCGCGUGUGUGAAGAAGGUCUUCGGAUUGUAAAGCACUUUAAGUUGGGAGGAAGGGCAGUAAGUUAAUACCUUGCUGUCUUGACGUUACCAACAGAAUAAGCACCGGCUAACUUCGUG
Molecule: ribosomal RNA, 484 nt
Filed under: uncultured bacterium
Lineage: Bacteria
Description: partial 16S ribosomal RNA
Rfam family: Bacterial small subunit ribosomal RNA
Source: RNAcentral